ACAAGCUGUAAUCAAUCAGCUGGGUAUAAGAUGGGGUUUUCACCCUUUCCAAGCUGCAUGAGCUCCAGCCACCCCUAGGAGGAGACAACAUAUCACGCAUCUCAAGACCUGGAGGGAGAAUGGCAAGCAGCUGAUUCAUCUCCAUUGCCUGUGAAACACUGCUACUCCACGUGUCACUUCUCACUCAGGGGUCCCCUCCUCACUCCUCCCUACUCAAGGGUAACCUCCAUCCUGAAUUUUGUGCUUAUCAUUCCCUUUUUUUUUCUUUAU
Molecule: long non-coding RNA, 270 nt
Organism: Homo sapiens (human)
Lineage: Eukaryota; Metazoa; Chordata; Mammalia; Primates; Hominidae
Source: Ensembl